Molecule: long non-coding RNA, 276 nt
Organism: Puntigrus tetrazona (Sumatra barb)
Lineage: Eukaryota; Metazoa; Chordata; Actinopteri; Cypriniformes; Cyprinidae
Exons: 6
Source: RefSeq, a predicted model, not a curated record
GGUCCACCGGGCCCACCUGGACCUCCAGGGCCACCAGGACGAGUAAUUGGUCUCAAUGGAACAGUUUUCCCAGUUCCUCCUAGACCACACUGCAAAAUACCAGUCAACAACAACAAUUCACAACAAGGCAAUGGAAGAGCGUCAUUAGGAGUCAAAGGGGACAAGGGUGAUGUGGGAAAUCCUGGGUUGCCUGGAACUGCAGUGCCUUUGUUUCCUCAUAGUUAUGAGGGCGCUAAAGGUGAUAUUGGCUACAAGGGGCAAAAGGGAGAAAAGGGG